This 403-nucleotide ribosomal RNA is filed under the name uncultured bacterium. Its description in RNAcentral is "bacterial SSU rRNA". It matches the Rfam family "Bacterial small subunit ribosomal RNA", at positions 355 to 774 of the family's 1533-position model. The record is from RNAcentral.
UGAGGGAUAUUGGUCAAUGGGCGCAGGCCUGAACCAGCGACGCCGCGUGGGUGAAGAAGGUCUUCGGAUCGUAAAGCCCUUUUCCCACUGAAGAGGAAGGACGGUAGGUGGGGAAGAAGUCUCGGCUAACUACGUGCCAGCAGCCGCGGUAAAACGUAGGAGACAAGCGUUAUCCGGAGUUACUGGGCGUAAAGGGCGUGCAGGUGGCGUCUUAAGUCUGUUGUGAAAGCGCCUGGCUUAACCGGGCGAGGCCAAUGGAGACUGAGAGGCUGGAGGACGGCGGAGGGGUGUGGAAUUCCGGGUGUAGUGGUGAAAUGCGUAGAUAUGCGGAGGAACACCGAUGGCGAAGGCAAUCCCCUGGGCCUGCACUGACGCUCAUGCACGAAAGCGUGGGGAGCAAACA